CAAAACUAGGUCAAUUGGGAACCCACCUGCAUAUUGAUUGCAGGCUGGCACCAGGUAUAAAGCUAAGCCGGUGCUUCUUUGGAUUAUUCCUUCCAUGCAUUCAGCGCAAAGCAGCAGUAAAUGCUGACACUCUGCGACGGACUGAUCGGCAAGAGUAGAUCAUAUGACAGCCACAGCGCGGCAGGUUGUUUUAUUCCGGCGUUGCGGAGAGAGGUGCUUGUGCGAUUUCCCCCACCAGUGAGAGUAUAACGCCUCCGGUCCUGGGGGCGUGAUCGCUGCCUUCACCUCCGUGGCAACUCACACAGCCUUAAGUGAAGAAUCAAGACACCUGCCUAGCCGUUGUUGUGAGGGCUCCUCCUCAGUGGAGCCUGCUGUCUUGUCUUGUCUUGUCUUGUCUGGUUUUGAAUUGUUUUACCUUGUCUUAUUUGGUUUUAUUAAGUAGGCCUACCAUUUCCUGGUUCGCCUGGUUUUAUUUUAUUUUAUCUCUGGAUUGUUGCGUGUGCCCACGCUUCUGUGAUCGGGCUGAAGCAAUUCUUUGCCCGAGUGUCGUGCCGGGGAUUUUAAAUUGCCCCCGUUGCUGGUCUUAGCCUGUGGGGAGCCAGACCAGCUCGCGAUUGAGGCUGGGACCAUUACUACCAGUACGAGUGGACCCGCGGGGCACAAGCCUUCCUGUGUGUGUGUGUGUGUGUGUGUGUGUGUGUGUGUGUGUGUGUGUGUGUGUGUGUGGUUUCUUUUAUUAAAGCUAUUAAAGUGUGUUUUAGUUCUUUGUAUCAUCUGUAGCGAGCCUGACGCUCAGUGUCCUGUUAUUCUUUUAACAUAUUUUUCUGUGUUUUCUUUUAGUGAACGGAGGACGUACCAGUGGCCCUGGGACCUCAGGUGGUGGGUCGUUUUCACACUUUCUUUUGUACAGCACCGGGUGGGCUGCAGUGAUUUUCGUUGUGUGUGAUUUUCUUUUGGGUCCACGGCUGCUGGUAAGUCCAAGUUCCAUGAUUGUUUUAUUUUUGCGUUAAGACACUGUCAACAAUGACGCUACAUUUUGGUUUCUAAUAUUUUAUUUAUUUUUAUUAUAAAUAAACUGUUUUAAUAUUGGA
Molecule: long non-coding RNA, 1091 nt
Organism: Oreochromis aureus
Lineage: Eukaryota; Metazoa; Chordata; Actinopteri; Cichliformes; Cichlidae
Source: Ensembl